UGGGGAAUUUUGGACAAUGGGCGAAAGCCUGAUCCAGCAAUGCCGCGUGUGUGAAGAAGGCCUUCGGGUUGUAAAGCACUUUUGUCCGGAAAGAAAUCCUUGGCUCUAAUACAGUCGGGGGAUGACGGUACCGGAAGAAUAAGCACCGGCUAACUACGUGCCAGCAGCCGCGGUAAUACGUAGGGUGCAAGCGUUAAUCGGAAUUACUGGGCGUAAAGCGUGCGCAGGCGGUUUGCUAAGACCGAUGUGAAAUCCCCGGGCUCAACCUGGGAACUGCAUUGGUGACUGGCAGGCUAGAGUAUGGCAGAGGGGGGUAGAAUUCCACGUGUAGCAGUGAAAUGCGUAGAGAUGUGGAGGAAUACCGAUGGCGAAGGCAGCCCCCUGGCAAGUACUGACGCUCAUGCACGAAAAGCGUGGGGGAGCAAACAGGAUUAGAUACCCUGGUAGUCCACGCCCUAAACGAUGUCAACUAGUUGUUGGGGAUUCAUUUCCUUAGUAACGUAGCUAACGCGUGAAGUUGACCGCCUGGGGAGUACGGUCGCAAGAUUAAAACUCAAAUAAUUG
Molecule: ribosomal RNA, 564 nt
Filed under: uncultured bacterium
Lineage: Bacteria
Description: partial 16S ribosomal RNA
Rfam family: Bacterial small subunit ribosomal RNA
Source: RNAcentral